GACGAACGCUGGCGGCGUGCUUAACACAUGCAAGUCGAACGGAAAGGCCCUGCUUUUGUGCGGUGCUCGAGUGGCGAACGGGUGAGCAACACGUGAGUAACCUGUCCCUGACUUUGGGAUAACUUCAGGCAACUGGGGCUCAUACCGGAUAGGAGCUCCUGCUGCAUGGUGGGGGUUGGAAAGUUUCGGCGGUUGGGGAUGGACUCGCGGCCUAUCAGCUUGUUGGUGGGGUAGUGGCUUACCAAGGCUUUGACGGGUAGCCGGCCUGAGAGGGUGACCGGCCACAUUGGGACUGAGAUGCGGCCCAGACUCCUACGGGAGGCAGCGGUGGGGAGUAGUGCACAAUGGGCGGAAGCCUGAUGCAGCAACGCCGCGUGCGGGAUGACGGGCUUCGGGUUGUAAUCCGCUGUCGCCUGUGACGAGGCGUGAGUGACGGUAAUGGGUAAAGAAGCACCGGCUAACUACGUG
This 468-nucleotide ribosomal RNA is filed under the name uncultured bacterium. RNAcentral describes it as "partial 16S ribosomal RNA". It matches the Rfam family "Bacterial small subunit ribosomal RNA", at positions 28 to 507 of the family's 1533-position model. The record is from RNAcentral.